This is a long non-coding RNA of Cyprinus carpio carpio, 2014 nucleotides long. The record is from Ensembl. Lineage: Eukaryota; Metazoa; Chordata; Actinopteri; Cypriniformes; Cyprinidae.
ACUUGAAUGAAAAUUUCCUGAACAUUGCAAAGGAACAAGAGUUCAAGGUCCUUAGCUUUGCAGAAACUCUGCCAACCUACAAUGGACCGAUGCUCAAAAUAUUGAUAGUUCCAUCGCAGUCAGCAGGUCUGGGUAUCGGGGACCUCAUCCAUGUGGAGGUUUAUCACCUUAACAUCUGCAAGCCAGAAAAAAAGACUAAUUUCUCUAUAAACGUACUUUACAGUUUAUUCGGGAUGCUCUUGGAGGACAGAGAAUUAAGUCAACUCCCACAGUCCAAAACUGGUCUCUUGCCAUUUCAUUUCCUCUUGAGGGUUCAACAAUUACAUUUUAAAAGCUACUGUUAACUAUGAAUAGAAGGAAGUUCUAAAAUUGCAACUGGAUUUUUCUUUGCAUUUUUUAAUUCAAUCAAGCCGUUAUGAAUAUGCUUUUUGUUAAAACCUCUGGGUUUAACUUUUAAUGUGUUUGCCAACUUCACCGUUGCCUUUUUCAUUUCAGUAAUUUGGAAUGAGCACUUUUCAGCAUUUAUUUUAACUGGAAGCUAUAACAAAUUAAAAUGAAUAUCAAGUAUACUAUGUUUAAAAUAUCAAUGCAUAUUUUAAAAAUCAUUUAUAGAAAGUCCAUUGUAUUUAUAAUAUUUAUUUUCUUGAAAGAAGCUGAAAACUAGCCGUUUUCUUAACUCACCAGCCUUCUUUGUAUCCCUACCUCAGACUCACAGUUUGGUACUGAUGCUGGCUGUAAUUUGCCACUAUUUUUGUACUAGUGGAUUAAUUGUAGUACUUGCAUAGGACCAUGUUACUUCUAUUUUGAUGUUGAGAUUGCGCAAGACACAAUUAUUGGCAAAUUUUUAUCACACUGAAUAAAGUUGUGUUACCUAACUUUAUAUUCCACUUAAAUCAUAUACUAUUACUAUAGCUAUACUGCAGCCUUGUGUUUUCAGAGCAUCAGUGCGCUCCAGGCCAGCAGAGCGCAGUAGAGCUCACAGAUCCAACAUCAGUCUGUUAGUAGAGGAAGACCACUGUUAGUUGACGGUGGACACUGUAGGUUCAAAACAAACUGACAAUCGACAGGUAAACACAAUAAAAAUCAUAUACAUAGGCUUUAACUGAAGAACCAAAAGCGUUAACACAUCCCGUCCAAAAUGGUUAAUGUCUUGAAAGGAGUUCUCGUUGAAUGUGACCCAGCUAUGAAGCAAUUUCUUCUAUAUCUGGACGAGACGUCAGCAUUGGGGAAGAAAUUUAUCAUCCAGGAUUUGGACGACACACAUGUUUUCAUCCUAGCUGAAGUUGUGCAGAUUCUCCAGGACCGAGUAGGAGAACUGAUGGACCAGAAUUCAUUCCCCGUCACCCAGAAAUAAAUGUCUGAAUCUGACAGCAGACCUUACAAUCUGUGGGAGCAGAUGGAUGUGGAGAUUCUUUCAGCACAAUUGCACAAACGCAGAUGCAACUAAAAUAUAUAGAUGACUGGCUACCAGGAUGAUGCCUGUUAUUCUUGUUUUAGUUUGACUGUGUUGCAUACAUUUUUAAUCUGACAGAAUGACAUGCUUUAUGUUACAUAUGUUUUAAAGACCGCUUCUAGAAUCUUUGCUGUGUUCUGACAGCUUGGUCAACGAAUUGUGUUUUGCAUGGAAAAUUGCAUUAGCUGCAGAAAGAAACAAUGUUGUUGUUUUUUUGUUUUUAAUUUGUACACAAACUGAAAGCAGAUGGUUGAUGACAGUGUGAUUUUAUAUACAUGCAAAAUAUACAAGCAUCAAAUAAAAAAAACCUUAAAAAACAUAAAUGUUCUCAAAAUUUGCUUAAUUUGUUUCCUGGAUACAUAAUAAUUAGCCUUAAAAAUUAGAAGACUCCAAGCUCCCUUUUCUGUUUAUUCUCUUUCUAGUGAAAAACCAGCUCAAGCCACGAGCACAAGGGUAUGAUGGGGGAUUUAGACAACUGAGAUGUGUCUGUAAUCAGGAUAUUGGUGAAAGAUUUUACCUUGAGGUGUGAGGAGAACAAACCGCAACAUCAAAAUAGUGAAC